This 73-nucleotide transfer RNA is filed under the name Bos taurus (domestic cattle). It matches the Rfam family "tRNA". Rfam says of the family: Transfer RNA (tRNA) molecules are approximately 80 nucleotides in length. Their secondary structure includes four short double-helical elements and three loops (D, anti-codon, and T loops). Lineage: Eukaryota; Metazoa; Chordata; Mammalia; Artiodactyla; Bovidae. The record is from Rfam by way of RNAcentral. RNAcentral also lists the same sequence under 2 other names.
UCCCUCAUGGUCCAAUGGCUAAGACUCUGUGCUUCCAAUGCAGGGGGCCCAGGUUCAAUCUCUGGUUGGGAAA